This 932-nucleotide ribosomal RNA is filed under the name Aschersonia sp. HNXL2012-03. Its description in RNAcentral is "eukaryotic LSU rRNA". It matches the Rfam family "Eukaryotic large subunit ribosomal RNA", at positions 37 to 979 of the family's 3401-position model. The record is from RNAcentral. Lineage: Eukaryota; Fungi; Ascomycota; Sordariomycetes; Hypocreales; Clavicipitaceae.
AGCAUAUCAAUAAGCGGAGGAAAAGAAACCAACAGGGAUUGCCCCAGUAACGGCGAGUGAAGCGGCAGCAGCUCAAAUUUGAAAUCUGGGCCCCCCCGAGGGCCCCGAGUUGUAAUUUGCAGAGGAUGCUUUUGGCGAGGCGCCUUCCGAGUUCCCUGGAACGGGACGCCGCAGAGGGUGAGAGCCCCGUCUGGUCGGACGCCGAGCCUCUGUAAAGCUCCCUCGACGAGUCGAGUAGUUUGGGAAUGCUGCUCUAAACGGGAGGUAUAUGUCUUCUAAAGCUAAAUACCGGCCAGAGACCGAUAGCGCACAAGUAGAGUGAUCGAAAGAUGAAAAGCACUUUGGAAAGAGGGUUAAACAGUACGUGAAAUUGUUGAAAGGGAAGCGCUCGCGACCAGACUUGGGCCCCGCGGACCAGCCGGCGGUGACCUCGACGGCGCACCCCGCAGGGCCCAGGCCAGCAUCAGUUCGCGCCGGGGGACAAAGGCGGCGGGAACGUGGCUCCCCCCCCGGGGGGAGUGUUAUAGCCCGCCGCGCAAUGCCCUGGGGCGGACUGAGGACCGCGCGUUCCACGCAUGGAUGCUGGCGUAAUGGUCGCCAGCGACCCGUCUUGAAACACGGACCAAGGAGUCGUCCUCGUAUGCGAGUGUUCGGGUGUCAAGCCCCUACGCGGAAUGAAAGUGAACGCAGGUGAGAGCCCCCGGGCGCAUCACCGACCGAUCCCGAUGUUCUCGGACGGAUUUGAGUAGGAGCAUACGGGGCCGGACCCGAAAGAAGGUGAACUAUGCCUGUGUAGGGUGAAGCCAGAGGAAACUCUGGUGGAGGCUCGCAGCGGUUCUGACGUGCAAAUCGAUCGUCAAACAUGGGCAUGGGGGCGAAAGACUAAUCGAACCUUCUAGUAGCUGGUUUCCGCCGAGUUUCCCCCUCAGGGA